UAACACAUGCAAGUCGAACGGGCGUAGCAAUACGUCAGCGGCAGACGGGUGAGUAACGCGUGGGAACGUACCUUUUGGUUCGGAACAACACAGGGAAACUUGUGCUAAUACCGGAUAAGCCCUUACGGGGAAAGAUUUAUCGCAAACACGCGCUUAACAGGGGUGUUCCCCGCAACUAAAUUGUGGCUGAUAUCCCAUUGGAGCCCCCCCGGCCGGCGAUCUCGUCUCGGGGAAACCGCAAUCUCGAGGAGAUGGAAAUGAAUGGGGAACUGUCACCUCGAAGAGGGGGGAACCCCUGAUCCAGCCUUCCGCGUGAGUGAUGAAGGCCCUAGGGUUGUAAAGCUCUUUUGUGCGGGAAGAUAAUGACGGUACCGCAAGAAUAAGCCCCGGCUAACUUCGUGCCAGCAGCCGCGGUAAUACGAAGGGGGCUAGCGUUGCUCGGAAUCACUGGGCGUAAAGGGUGCGUAGGCGGGUCUUUAAGUCAGGGGUGAAAUCCUGGAGCUCAACUCCAGAACUGCCUUUGAUACUGAAGAUCUUGAGUCCGGGAGAGGUGAGUGGAACUGCGAGUGUAGAGGUGAAAUUCGUAGAUAUUCGCAGAACCACCAGUGGCGAAGGCGGCUCACUGGGCCCGGUACUGACGCUGAGGCACGAAAGCGGUGGGGGAGCAAAACAGGAUUAGGAUACCCUGGUAGUCCACCGCCGUAAACGAUGAAUGCCAGCCGUAGUGGUUUACUCCCCUAUUGGCGCGCCUAACGCCUUAAGCAUCCGCCUGGGGAUACCGUCCGCCAGAUUAAACUCAAAGAAUGGACCGGGCCGCCCAAGCGGGAACCAUUGUGGUUAUUGCAGCCACACGCGAACUUACGACUGACAUGUCAGACGGUCGGAAGACGUUACUCUCUCUGAACUG
This 907-nucleotide ribosomal RNA is filed under the name uncultured Bradyrhizobium sp. RNAcentral describes it as "bacterial SSU rRNA". It matches the Rfam family "Bacterial small subunit ribosomal RNA", at positions 49 to 1030 of the family's 1533-position model. The record is from RNAcentral. Lineage: Bacteria; Pseudomonadati; Pseudomonadota; Alphaproteobacteria; Hyphomicrobiales; Nitrobacteraceae.